RNAcentral lists this transfer RNA (69 nucleotides) under Diplometopon zarudnyi. RNAcentral's name for it is "tRNA-Arg". It matches the Rfam family "tRNA". Rfam says of the family: Transfer RNA (tRNA) molecules are approximately 80 nucleotides in length. Their secondary structure includes four short double-helical elements and three loops (D, anti-codon, and T loops). The record is from RNAcentral. Lineage: Eukaryota; Metazoa; Chordata; Lepidosauria; Squamata; Trogonophidae.
AGAGGAUUAGUCUAAAAAAGACAGCUAAUUUCGGCUUAGCAAAUUCAGGUUCUAAUCCGGAAUCCCCGA